GGUUAAGCGACUAAGCGUACACGGUGGAUGCCCUGGCAGUCAGAGGCGAUGAAGGACGUGCUAAUCUGCGAUAAGCGUCGGUAAGGUGAUAUGAACCGUUAUAACCGGCGAUUUCCGAAUGGGGAAACCCAGUGUGUUUCGACACACUAUCAUUAACUGAAUCCAUAGGUUAAUGAGGCGAACCGGGGGAACUGAAACAUCUAAGUACCCCGAGGAAAAGAAAUCAACCGAGAUUCCCCCAGUAGCGGCGAGCGAACGGGGAGCAGCCCAGAGCCUGAAUCAGUGUGUGUGUUAGUGGAAGCGUCUGGAAAGGCGCGCGAUACAGGGUGACAGCCCCGUACACAAAAAUGCACAUGCUGUGAGCUCGAUGAGUAGGGCGGGACACGUGGUAUCCUGUCUGAAUAUGGGGGGACCAUCCUCCAAGGCUAAAUACUCCUGACUGACCGAUAGUGAACCAGUACCGUGAGGGAAAGGCGAAAAGAACCCCGGCGAGGGGAGUGAAAAAGAACCUGAAACCGUGUACGUACAAGCAGUGGGAGCACGCUUAGGCGUGUGACUGCGUACCUUUUGUAUAAUGGGUCAGCGACUUAUAUUCUGUAGCAAGGUUAACCGAAUAGGGGAGCCGAAGGGAAACCGAGUCUUAACUGGGCGUUAAGUUGCAGGGUAUAGACCCGAAACCCGGUGAUCUAGCCAUGGGCAGGUUGAAGGUUGGGUAACACUAACUGGAGGACCGAACCGACUAAUGUUGAAAAAUUAGCGGAUGACUUGUGGCUGGGGGUGAAAGGCCAAUCAAACCGGGAGAUAGCUGGUUCUCCCCGAAAGCUAUUUAGGUAGCGCCUCGUGAAUUCAUCUCCGGGGGUAGAGCACUGUUUCGGCAAGGGGGUCAUCCCGACUUACCAACCCGAUGCAAACUGCGAAUACCGGAGAAUGUUAUCACGGGAGACACACGGCGGGUGCUAACGUCCGUCGUGAAGAGGGAAACAACCCAGACCGCCAGCUAAGGUCCCAAAGUCAUGGUUAAGUGGGAAACGAUGUGGGAAGGCCCAGACAGCCAGGAUGUUGGCUUAGAAGCAGCCAUCAUUUAAAGAAAGCGUAAUAGCUCACUGGUCGAGUCGGCCUGCGCGGAAGAUGUAACGGGGCUAAACCAUGCACCGAAGCUGCGGCAGCGACGCUUAUGCGUUGUUGGGUAGGGGAGCGUUCUGUAAGCCUGUGAAGGUGUGCUGUGAGGCAUGCUGGAGGUAUCAGAAGUGCGAAUGCUGACAUAAGUAACGAUAAAGCGGGUGAAAAGCCCGCUCGCCGGAAGACCAAGGGUUCCUGUCCAACGUUAAUCGGGGCAGGGUGAGUCGACCCCUAAGGCGAGGCCGAAAGGCGUAGUCGAUGGGAAACAGGUUAAUAUUCCUGUACUUGGUGUUACUGCGAAGGGGGGACGGAGAAGGCUAUGUUGGCCGGGCGACGGUUGUCCCGGUUUAAGCGUGUAGGCUGGUUUUCCAGGCAAAUCCGGAAAAUCAAGGCUGAGGCGUGAUGACGAGGCACUACGGUGCUGAAGCAACAAAUGCCCUGCUUCCAGGAAAAGCCUCUAAGCAUCAGGUAACAUCAAAUCGUACCCCAAACCGACACAGGUGGUCAGGUAGAGAAUACCAAGGCGCUUGAGAGAACUCGGGUGAAGGAACUAGGCAAAAUGGUGCCGUAACUUCGGGAGAAGGCACGCUGAUACGUAGGUGAAGUCCCUCGCGGAUGGAGCUGAAAUCAGUCGAAGAUACCAGCUGGCUGCAACUGUUUAUUAAAAACACAGCACUGUGCAAACACGAAAGUGGACGUAUACGGUGUGACGCCUGCCCGGUGCCGGAAGGUUAAUUGAUGGGGUCAGCGCAAGCGAAGCUCUUGAUCGAAGCCCCGGUAAACGGCGGCCGUAACUAUAACGGUCCUAAGGUAGCGAAAUUCCUUGUCGGGUAAGUUCCGACCUGCACGAAUGGCGUAAUGAUGGCCAGGCUGUCUCCACCCGAGACUCAGUGAAAUUGAACUCGCUGUGAAGAUGCAGUGUACCCGCGGCAAGACGGAAAGACCCCGUGAACCUUUACUAUAGCUUGACACUGAACAUUGAGCCUUGAUGUGUAGGAUAGGUGGGAGGCUUNNNNNNNNNNNNNNNNNNNNNNNNNNNNNNNNNNNNNNNNNNNNNNNNNNNNNNNNNNNNNNNNNNNNNNNNNNNNNNNNNNNNNNNNNNNAUCCGGGUUGCGGACAGUGUCUGGUGGGUAGUUUGACUGGGGCGGUCUCCUCCUAAAGAGUAACGGAGGAGCACGAAGGUUGGCUAAUCCUGGUCGGACAUCAGGAGGUUAGUGCAAUGGCAUAAGCCAGCUUGACUGCGAGCGUGACGGCGCGAGCAGGUGCGAAAGCAGGUCAUAGUGAUCCGGUGGUUCUGAAUGGAAGGGCCAUCGCUCAACGGAUAAAAGGUACUCCGGGGAUAACAGGCUGAUACCGCCCAAGAGUUCAUAUCGACGGCGGUGUUUGGCACCUCGAUGUCGGCUCAUCACAUCCUGGGGCUGAAGUAGGUCCCAAGGGUAUGGCUGUUCGCCAUUUAAAGUGGUACGCGAGCUGGGUUUAGAACGUCGUGAGACAGUUCGGUCCCUAUCUGCCGUGGGCGCUGGAGAACUGAGGGGGGCUGCUCCUAGUACGAGAGGACCGGAGUGGACGCAUCACUGGUGUUCGGGUUGUCAUGCCAAUGGCACUGCCCGGUAGCUAAAUGCGGAAGAGAUAAGUGCUGAAAGCAUCUAAGCACGAAACUUGCCCCGAGAUGAGUUCUCCCUGACUCCUUGAGAGUCCUGAAGGAACGUUGAAGACGACGACGUUGAUAGGCCGGGUGUGUAAGCGCAGCGAUGCGUUGAGCUAACCGGUACUAAUGAACCGUGAGGCUUAACCUU
This 2915-nucleotide ribosomal RNA is filed under the name Escherichia coli. RNAcentral describes it as "23S ribosomal RNA". It matches the Rfam family "Bacterial large subunit ribosomal RNA". Lineage: Bacteria; Pseudomonadati; Pseudomonadota; Gammaproteobacteria; Enterobacterales; Enterobacteriaceae. The record is from RNAcentral.